UAAUUUCUUUAAAAUUUGAUUAGAGACCUAAGACCUUUAAAAUUUUAAAAUUUGAUUAAUAUCGCUAGUGAUGCUAUUCAUGUUACCCAUUUCUAUGUUUAAUAGAUUGCUAAGAGAGAUUCUCGUCAAUUUUCUCUUACAACUUCCUCUUACGUUCUCUGCAUUUGGCUAUUUGUUAUCCUAGAUGUGUUAAGUGUUAGCCUUUCCUAUUCUGAGUGAUACUUAACUAUAAUUUCUCCAUGCCAUCCUACUAAACUGCUUCUGAAACUCUUUUUUUUUUUCCCAGUGUCGAGGCACCGGACACUCAUGAAUGUUUUUGACAAAUCCCCUAGUGUGGAUAAAGGGGCUUUUGUGGCUCCUAACGCUUCUAUCACUGGUGAUGUCCAUGUCGGACGAGGUUCUUCCAUUUGGUAUGGAUGUGUCUUGAGAGGUAUAAGCUUCUGUAGCAUCUGAAAAUGUUGACUCAUUUGUGCUUUCAUUGAAAGGAGAAGCACCCUUUUAUGUCAGACAUGUGCAUAGAAUUAAAAACUUACUCUGCAGGAGAUGCUAACAGCAUUAGUGUUGGAGCUGGCACCAAUAUCCAGGACAACGCUCUUGUCCACGUUGCUAAGUCCAACUUAAGCGGGAAGGUCUUACCUACCGUCAUUGGAAACAAUGUCACUGUUGGUAAAUUCUCUAUACAAUCUCUGUCACAAAACUCAAGUGUGAAUUUUAUUGCCUACUUUCAUUGCGCAUGUGCAAAAAGUUUUUGUGCAUAUGCCAAAGUUUCCAUUUUCUAGCCAAAGUUACCAUUUUCUAGCCAAAAUUUCCAAAAAUAAUUUUUGACUUUGCCAGGGUAAUUUAAAGCAUGUAAUAAAUUCAUUGCGAAUUAAAUAAUUGCUAAGAAUCCUUACAAAAAAUAUUCGUGGAUAUGAAUUAUUGAAAAGAAUAUGAAGAAGACAUUUUUUCUUACAAAAAAUUGUGCAUAUACCACAUGUUCCAUUUUCUAGCCAAACUACCAUUUUCUAGCCAAAGUUUCCAAAAAUAGUUUUUAACUUUAUUAGGAUAAUUUAAUGCAUAUAAUAAAUGUAUAGAGCAUUCAACGUUUGCUAAGAUUCCUUACAAUAAUUCUAGUAGAUUUGAAUGAUUGAAAAGAAAAAAAGAAGAAGAAAAAGUUGAAGUUACAUUCCUCGUAACCGGAAGAGCCGAGUGGACAUGGUCAAAUUUUUUUUCCAGUGUUUGUUAGUUUUUGCACUUUUCCCAUGCUCACUAUUCCGCUUAGAGCAUAACACCAAGAUGACGACGAAGACGAUGGAGAGAGGAUUUAAGGUUUUUCUCUAUAUUUCUUUUUGUUUUUGUUUUUGUAUAAGAAGAGAAUUGAAACGUUUAAUCACUAACUGGAAUGCAAACAUAUUCUCUCAAACGUGAAGCUGAUUUUGGGUUCUCAGUCCAUGGCGAGAAAGAGGAUUCUAGCUGAGAUGGGAUAUGAGUACACCAUUGUGGUAUGUUUUUCUUUAUAUAUGUUUAUGGAGGUUUUGAUUAAUUUGUUUGCUGGGGAUUGUACGUAAAUUAAGGUUGGCUUGGGAUUUUCAUGGUUCAAGACUGCAGACAUUGAUGAAAAAGCUAUUAGGACAGACAAGCCUGAAGAUUUAGUUGUGGCUCUUGCUGAAGCCAAGGUAAUAUUCUAAGCUAUCUAGGGUUUUGUAACUAGUUCAUAUCUUCUAAACUAAUGUAUUCUAGUUACCCUUUUUUUUUGGGUAAAAUAUUAUACUUACCAUUUUCGUGAUGGUAAAUUCUAUUUGACUAGGCAAAUGAGAUUAUAUCGAAAUUGGGAGGUGAAAGCCACUUUGCACAAGAUCCUCAACCAACUAUACUAAUUACUGCAGACACGGUAAGCUAUAAUGCCUCAACAUUUUUGGAUUAGUAUUUGUCGUGUGAUUUUUUUUUUUAAAUUAUCUAUCUUGCUGAUGAUGUUAUGGUGAUGGAGUUUCUUAGGUUGUUGUGUACAAAAGUGUCAUUAGAGAGAAACCAAUCAAUAAAGAAGAGGCUCGUGAAUUUAUCAAAGGUUUUGUGCAAGUUGAUUGAUUUUAGGUUUUGUGCAAGUUGAUAGAUUUUAGGUGUUCUAUGAUACGAGAGCCACUUAUGAUUAAGAGUUGUGUUUGAAAUCUACACAGGCUAUUCUGGGUCACAUGAAGGUGUUGUGGGAUCUGUUUUUGUAUGGAAUUUGAAAACUGGAGUUAAAAUAGGAGGAUGGGACAAAGCAGAGGUACUUAACACACAAGUUUUUUUUUUUUUUGUAGAUUCCAGUUUCUCCUUCUCUUUGCUCAACUUUUUGUUGUUGUUUCUUUUGUCUAACUUAGAUUCCAAUUUAUCAUUCUCUUUGCUAAACUUUUUGUUGUUGUUUCUUUUGUCCAACUUAGUUUCCAAUUUUUCUUUCUCUUUGCUCAACUUUAUGUUGUUGUUUCUUUUGCCCUACUUAGAUUCCAAUUUUUCCUUCUCUUUGCUCAACUUUUUGUUGUUUUUUCUUUUGUCAAAAAUUUUUGUGGUAAUGUGAAUGUUGUUGUGAUGCAGGUUUAUUUCCAUGAAAUACCAGAACAUGUCAUCGAAGAUCUUGUAAAACUCUUCAAAACACUAGUGCUUCUUACUAUUGAUCUAUUGAACGUAGUUUGUUUUAACAUAUGUUCUUUGAUAUUUAGAUUGAUGAUGCAAUAACUUACACGGUUGCUGGAGGUGCGACGCUGGAGCAUCCCCUUGUUUCACCCUUUGUCGAUUAUGUGGUUAGUGUCCUUGAAACAAUGAGUUCUCGUGUUUGAUAUGUAACUCUUUAGUUCUUUUCUGUUUCAGCAGCAUAAGAAGUUUUUUUUUGUAAUGUUGUAGGUGGGAGGAGUUGAUACUGUUAUGGGGCUUCCCAAAGAACUCACAAAAAAAUUCAUCAACGAUGUGUUGUUGUAGCUCAACCCCUUUUGAUUUAUGUAGGAAGAGCCCUUUUGAUUUAUGUAGAAAGGCUUAACUUAAUACUUUAGAAUCUCUAAUCCAUCAAUCAUUUAUGUUGUAAGAUUUACCGUAUCAUAAUUCUAAGCAUCGAUGAUAUUUUCGGAUUUCAAACUCUUAUAAACAAACCAAUUGGAAUGUCUGAAUUUUUGCAGUUUUAACAAGUUUUGAAUUUGAUUAUAAGCAGACCAACGUGGGUUUUCUAAUGUCUGAAACUCUGAAAUCUAAAUUCUGUAUUGACAUGGUUUAAUAGCAUUGAUACUAAAAGGCCCAAAUAUUGACCCGGUUGAAAUUCUCUGGCUGAUGAAGAAGUUUCACUGGGGACUUUUCAAAUCAGGCAUCUUCAGGGUUUUUGAAGAUACUCAUUGAGGUUUCUCUUCUUCGUGUUCCUCUCCCAAAACCUAAACGCUGUUUAAAAUACCUUUCUCACCGCCAUCGAUAAACCCUACUGGAACCCUAAUUUAUUGGGGGCUCUGAGGAAGCAACGAUUUGAUAAGUUUGGUUGCUUAAUCUAUGUCGAUUGUAAAAGAUUCGGGCUUUGAAGCCCUUGAGAAGCUUAAGUCAACUGAACCACCAGUUUUUCUUGCGCCAAGUUCAAUAUCUGAGGUGGCUCGUACUACAUCUCAGUACCUAUUCGAGAAGUUGAAGCCUUUCAACCCUAAAUCUCCAUUUGAUCAGCUCUUGGUUGAUGGGUUUGAUGCGGAGCAGAUUUGGCAGCAAAUUGAUAUUCAGUGUCAACCGUUGUUGUCUAGCUUGCGGCAGGACGUUAAGAGAUUUGCUCAAAACCCUAAAGAGAUUCGUAAACUUGGGAAUUUGGCCCUCAAUGUUUCUCAUGAAGAUGAUGUCGAUGAGAUGGAUAUGGAUGGUUUUGACUCGGAUGAUGAUGAGCUAGAAGCUACUGAAAGCGAUGGAGAUGAAGAAGAGGACGACGAUGAGGAAGAAGAAGAUGAUGUAGAGGAAGAUGAGGAGGAAAAGAGUGGAGACCAUGAAGGAAUAGAGGACAAGUUCUUCAAGAUAAAAGAAUUGGAGGAGUUUUUGGAGGAGGGUGAAGCAGAAGAGUAUGGAAUAGACUACAAAAACAAGAACGGGGUUGCAAAGAGAAAGAAACAAAAUUUGCGCGAUGAUGAUGAAGAAGAAGAUGAUGAGGAGGACGAGGAUGAAGAAGAAGAUGAUGAGGUAAGCACAUACCUCAGUGUUCAAGAAUAUUAAGUGGAAUGGUUGAUUACCAUUAGCUUAGUUUUUCUCUCGAUUGAUCUUUUAAUAUUCUCGUCCUCUAGUUUGGUGCUUUUGCUGGUGGGGAUGACGAAGAGGCAGAUAAAUUAGGCAAGGCAAGGUAUGGUCUCUAUGCUCUCUAAUUAGACAAUACACAUACCACUUUGUAUUCCAAUCAGUUGCACUUUUUUUCCUUGGGUUUGGAGCAGUAUCGCUGUCGAUUUGUUCUAAGAGUUUUUUUCCUUGUCAAUGAUAAUUAGGUAUGAUGAUUUCUUCGGCGGCAAAAAGAAGGAGACAAAAAUGAAGUUGAAAGACUUAAGUGAAGAUGAUGAAGCUGAAAUAGAAAACCAAGUACUGUGAUGCGUAACUUAUUCAUGGCAUUGUGAUAUGUACUAACUUCAUUUCUAAUUCAUGAACUAAAUUUUCUUCCUUUAGGGUGAUGUAAAGCUCUCUACCCAUGAAAAAGAACGAAUAAAGCUUCAAUCCAAGAUUGAACGGAUGGAGAAAGCAAACUUAGAUGCUAAACACUGGACAAUGCAGGGAGAGGUAGCCAGCCAUGUUUUUUCUGACGUUUACUGUAAAAUAAGAACCUAGCUUUCUGUAACAACAUUUUUGGAUGGUUUUUCUUAUUAAAAGAUAACUGCUGCAAAGAGGCCAAAGAACAGUGCUUUAGAAGUUGAUUUAGAUUUUGAGCACAAUGCCAGGCCUGCUCCUGUAAUCACAGAAGAGGUCACAGCCUCACUUGAAGAUUUGAUCAAGAGCAGAAUCAUUGAGGUAACACUUGUGACUUGUGGCAGUAAAAAUUUAACAAAGGCCUCCUUUCUUCUCUCCCCUUUUGCAUAACUGAUCUUGUGACUUCUUAGGCUCGUUUUGAUGAUGUUCAACGAGCAGCAAGUAUGCCCACUAAAGCAAAAAGAGAAGCCAAGGAAAUGGUGAGUUUUAUUGAAGAACUAUUAUCUCUGCCCUUUUUUUUUUGCUCUGGUUUAAUAGUUGAUGACUAAUAGUACUUUGUUACUUUUGUGAAUAUGCAGGACGAUAGCAAAAGCAAGAAAGGUCUUGCCGAAGUUUACGAGGUUUGUAUGACUUACAUUAUUUGAUUGCUAUUUCGUUUUUUUUGAGAGAUAACCAAACUUACAAAUGUUAUGUUUGUUUAUUUGUAGGACGAAUAUGUUCGGCAGGCUAAUCCCACUUUUGCCCCGACAACUUUCUCUGAUGAACUAAAGAAAGAGGUUCCAACUUGAUUUGAUUCUUAUGCUUCUUGGGUUUUUGUGAUUACCUAUCUGUCUUCUUCUUUCAAUGUCAGUCUCUAUAUCACAUACUCUUACUUAUAAAUGUUAAAUCAGGCAAGCAUGCUGUUCAAGAGACUAUGCCUGAAGUUGGAUUCUCUCUCCCACUUCCACUUCACACCUAAACCGGUAUGUAUAUCGCUUAGAUCCGAAAUGAUUAUCACCUCGUGUGUUUAAAUAUUGCUGCUCUGGACUUAACUAAUUUCUGUUUUUUUCCCCCAAAAUUUUUCAGGUGAUUGAAGAAAUGUCUAUACAAACAAAUGUCCCGGCCAUAGCAAUGGAAGAGGUAAUUCAGUUGUUUUCUCAAAUCCUUCCUUUAUUUGUUAGGGAAUUGGGAUCGGGGCACCAUCAUACUUAGCAACUUCUUCCAUGUGUACUGCGUAGGUUGCGCCUGUGGCAGUCUCAGAUGCGGCAAUGCUUGCCCCAGAGGAGAUAUUUUCCGGGAAAGGUGACAUUAAGGAUGAGUCUGAGCUUACACAGGAAGAGAAAAAGAGAAGGAGGGCUAAGAAGAAGAGAAAGUUUAAGGGUAAGGAUGUGAAUAAUAAAGAGGAUACUCAAUUUUGGUAAAAGCACAAAAUCUGACUGCUUCUUGUUGCAUAUUAGACCCAUAAACUCUUCGCUUUUCACUUUUGAAUCAGCUGAAUCUGCAAAAGAACCAGCGAAAAAAGCGCGGGAUGAUACUACCGAAAACCCUAAAACUGGUAUUUUUCUGUGCUCCUACAUGACUUUUAGAUUGUUGAGAAUAUUUGAAAUUAGGAAAUAAUUUAACGUUGGUUACGCUUACGAAGUUACAGGCAGUGAAGAAGGGUGAAGAAAGGAGAGAGUUACAGAGACAAAAUGAAGAUGAGGAGAUUUCAGGCAAGAGCAUUGCUACAUGAUACAGUAUGUGAAAAAUCUAAACACAGACAGCUUCAAGAUUAGAUACAACAAGAGUUUUGGAUGGGAGAAAAUAGAUAAACUUUUUACCGGUAUAAGGAAAGGCGAGAGAUAGUGUUCGAAUCAGUGACUUGUCUUGCCGACAUUUGAGUUUGAUUGUAUCUUAUGCGGUUUUGUCAUAUACUUUGAUAUGAGUAGCUUUUCUUUCUUUUAAUUGAUGAGAAAAAAAUCCGUAACUCCCAAUACCAAAGCAACUCUAAUUCAAGCUGCUGGAACUGAAAACAAAUGAAAAAAUAUAUAUCUAAUAGCUUCAAAUUCUAAGAUAACUAGAGUGCUGGAGUUGGAAAAGAAUAACAAUCGAUUUUGCAGAAUGAGUCACUGCGUAGUUGGAAAGAGGUUUCUUUGGAGAUCCUCCAUUGGCUGGCCAUAUAUGAAGUUUCUGGUGAUAAAUUAAUAAUACGUGUCAUAGAAAUCACUUAGCUGGAGUAGCUCAGUUGGUUAGAGCGUGUGGCUGUUAACCACAAGGUCAGAGGUUCGACCCCUCUCUCUAGCGUCUUUUUGCAGUUUGGGCCGUGCCUUUGUAGUUAUCGGGCCAGACACUUUCUUAAUUUUUUGUAUAAGUUAAGUUCUGGACUCGGAUGGGAUUGGGGGGGAUAUUCGUCAAUCCAAAAACGAGAUUCUGAAGCGGUCAACGUUGAACAUUUGGGUCAUUUGAAGAGCCGUUUCCUCCUCUGUGUGUGUGUGAUGUAUAAAAAAAUGUCUGUCGUCAUUAUAGUUUUGCUGGGUUUAUUCAAUCUCAUCGACCCAAUCAAUCAACAAUACAAGAUAGAGAGUGACUGAAGGAGAGACAAACAUGGCGUCUGUUUCCGUCUCUAACUCUUUUCUCACUUUCAGUUCUCCCAUUCAGCUCCGAAUCACUCGGUAAUUGACUCUGCAUUCUUCUUAUUUCGCAAUCUGAUCUUGAUUUCAAAAACAAAAAAAAUCUGAUCUUGAAUAUUUGCAGAAGGAGAGUCUCUGCCAUGGCUACUGGAGUGAGAGUCGCAGAAGGACAAGGCAAUUUGCCAAAACUUGUCCUCACUUCUCCCCAGAAGAGGUAUGCAAUAACUACUCGCCAUCUCUCGCUGCCUGCCUCAUAGUAGUAAGUAAUUCAUCAAUUUGUUGGAUGCAGUGAGGCUGAGAUAUAUCUCUUUGGAGGCUGCAUUACAUCUUGGAAAGUUGCGAGUGGUAAAGAUCUUCUUUUCGUCAGACCAGACGCUGUCUUCAAUAAGAUUAAGCCCAUUAGGUGUGUUUGUACAUUUUUACGUUGUUGCUCCCCUACCCUACUUAUUAACCUGAAACUCUCUAGUAGUCAUGUCCUCCCUUUUUCUUCUUUAUGCUUUUUACUGGAUUUAGCGGAGGGGUUCCACAUUGUUUUCCACAGUUUGGACCUGGACUAAUUCAACAGGUACUCAUUUAAAGUUUUCAUCCAUUAAUCCAAGCUGUUUGUUUUUCUUUUAAACUUAUUAAUGCUUACAUGCUCUUGGAACCAUUUUGGAAUCAUUAGCAUGGGUUUGGAAGGAACAUGGACUGGUCUGUUGUUGAUUCCGAGAAUGCAGAUGACAGUGCCGCUGUUACUCUUGAGCUCAAGGAUGGUCCCUAUAGUCGAGCCAUGUGGGACUUUGCUUUCCAGGCUCUAUACAAGGUUUGUACAAUGCCUUAAUUUAGUGACACUCUUGUAUGUUAGAUGUCUUAUUUUUUUGACAGUUUGUUUUGCUACUUUAGGUCACUGUUGGCGCCGACUCCCUUUCCACCGAGCUUAAGAUAACAAACACAGACAAUAAACCAUUCUCUUUCACCACUGCCUUGCAUACUUACUUCCGUGUAAGUGUACUAUAUUCGUCUUCUCGUGUUGAAGUGUGUUUCCCAUUAUCUGAUACUACGGCUUGCGAAUUGACUCCCUUUCUCCUUCUUAUAAUUGUUUUUGGAUUCAUCAGGCUUCUUCUGCCAAGGCAUCCGUGAGAGGUCUAAAGGGUUGUAAAACUCUCAAUAAGGAUCCUGACCCUAAAAACCCAAUAGAGGGUAAAGAAGACAGGUUGGUUUGGUGUUUGUUUUCCUUCAUUAGUUACUGAUCUUGUUGAUUUUUAAUUUCACAUUUUCAUGGUUCUAACUCCUUUUUUAACAUUCCAGAGACGAAGUCACUUUUCCUGGAUUUUUGGACUGCGUCUAUCUUGAUGCUCCUAAUGAGUUGCAGUUUGAUAAUGGCUUGGGUGAUAAAAUAAUCAUCAAAAACACAAAGUAUGUUUAUUGAGACACUUAGGGGUUUUAUAGAGGGACUAUGUUAUAACUUCCGUUACAUAAUGAGUCUUGUUUUCGGAAAAUGCAGUUGGUCGGAUGCGGUCUUGUGGAACCCGCAUACUCAGAUGGAGGCUUGUUACAGAGACUUUGUGUGCGUGGAAAAUGCAAAGGUAUAUCAGUUUGCACCUUAGUCUUUGCGCACAACAAUACUUGUAGAAUCUAAUGUUUCUAACUCUUGCUUAUUAUUUUUAAUUCUCAGCUUGGGGAUGUCAAGCUAGAGCCAGGACAGUCUUGGACCGCAACACAGCUUCUCAGCAUUUGUUGAAAACACAAUGUACUUUAAACUUCUGAUAUAUUGUCGAGUGGAUCCAUUUUCUUAAGCAAUAAAAGUUUUCAUUCCUCUCCAAAUUUCACCAGUAGUCACCACAACUGCAUUUACCAUUUCUGAAAUGAUGGAACCUUGUCCUAUCUCUCAUUACGAUAUCUCUCUUGUAUAUCUUAGAGAUAAGUUUUGUUACUCUGUGACAAUCUUUGCAUACUCGGAGAUUCUUCAUUAUACGUAUAACGGUUCCCGGUUUAGUCUUGAGUAACCCGUAUGUUAUAGCCAAUUUUUCGCUGUGCUGAUGCACAAUAGCUUCUCGCUCAUCAACAUCAACUAGAUCAAGCAGCAUAUCCUCUAACUCUGGUACGUACCCGUGUUCCUCAAGUUUCCUUCUCACGAUACUCCAUUUCGAUUGAAUUUUCUUAAUCUCUGGGUGUGAUCGGUCUCCCGCUAAAAACUCGUGUGUGGUCCCUUCGAAGCUAAUUGUACUACAUCCUGGAACUUUCGCAACACCUUGUUCUUUCAUCAAUCUUCUUGUUUCAGCUGCUUUGUCCCACUGUUUGGCCAAAGCAUGAAUAUUUGCUUUAUGAACAUAUCUCCCACCAUGAAAUGGAUCCAUUGCAAUUAAGAUAUCUCCAAUUUCCUCUCCUAGUUCGAUGUUUUUGUGCAUCCGACAGGCUUUGAGCAACGCACCCCAUAUCACAGCAUUUGGCUUCAAAGGCAUGUCUUGAAUGAAACAUUUUGCUUCAUCGAGAAAUCCAGCUCGACCGAGUAAAUCAACAAUACAGCCAUAAUGCUCGAUGGUUGGUUUAAGGUUGUAGUCUCUCUCCAUGCUGUAGAAAAUCAACUUUCCUUCUUCAACUAGUCCUGUGUAGCCGCAGGCCGUGAGAACCGCAGUGAAGGUAAUCACAUUUGGCUUUACUCCCAUCUUUUGCAUCUCCAUGAAUUUGCUAAUUGCUUCUCUUCCAUGGCCAUGGUAUGCAUAGCCGGAAAUCAAAGCUGUCCAUGCUUGCACUGAUUUUAUCUUAAUAUUAUUGAAAACUCCCAAAGCUUCUUCCAUUUCGCCACACUUUGCAUACAUAUCUAUAAGAACACAACCCAAGACUGAAUCAAUUCUGAUUCUUUCUUUAUUAAGAUAGGAAUGAAUCCACUUCCCUUGCUCGAGUGCCCCGAGCUGAGCACAAGCUGAGAGAGCAUUAGCGAGGGAAACAUUAUCAGGCUCAACAUCUGAAUUCUGCAUCUCAUGAAAUAAUUGCAGAGCUUCGUUGUUCAUGCCUGCUUCAACAUACCCAGAGAUCAUCGUAGUCCAUGAUAUAGCAUUCUUUUCUGCCAUUUUCUGGAAUAACGUUAAUGCAAUAUCCAUUUUUCCAGCUUUUACGUAACCUUUGAUCACAGAGUUCCACGAGACAGCAUCGGGUUUGGACAUCCUAUCAAAGAGAAGGUGAGCUAGCUCGAAGUUACCGGUCACAGCAUAUGAAUUGAUAAGAGAAUUCACUGCAUAGACGUCGUUUUCAUAUCCAAGUUUUGUGAUCUGUGCGUGAAUUUGUGUUGUUUCUUGAAAUGCAGAUAGAUUCGAACAAGCUUUGAGAAGAGACGGGAAAGUAUACGCGUUAUGAGGAGCUGAGCAACAGAGCAUUCGAUGAUACAGGAGAAGAGACGUCUUAGGUUCGUCGGAGCACGAGAAUCCUUUGAUCAUGAGGUUCCACAAGAAAGUAUCAGGUCGAUCAAAACCGUCAAACACAAUUUGGGCAUAAGGCAAAAAAUCAGAAGAAGUCGAGGAAACACAGAAAGAAAGAAACUUUGUCACUGCGUAAGAAUGCUGCAUCAAUCCAGUUUUCAGCAUGCGAGCGUGGAUUUGCUUAAGUUCAUCUUGCUUUGAGCAUCUCUGGAGACAAGACAUUGUCUCGUAGAGAUUAUGUUCGAAAGAGAAGGAGGAGCAUGAGAUCAUUGUCAUUUUAGUUCAUUAAAAAACACAGAGAGAGAGAGAGAGAGAGAGCUCUUGAGAGAUAAGGUUCCUCUUUGCUUGAUGAUAUGAUAACUUCUCAAUUCUCAGUAGAGGCCAAAGUAUUUGUUUGCCGUUUUGUAAGAGACUUUAAAAGGAUAAGUGACGUGGAGAUAUAGAGUCACCUGGUUGGUUUAUGCUGUUUUUAUUAGAAGUUACCCAAAAAAUUACCUUAAAUUACCAAAAUCGUUAGCAUUAGCAAAUAGCAAUAGCAUGAACCGGAAAAUAACGGUCGGACCGAAAUCUGAGCCAAAACCAAAGAUGGGGUGAGACGUCAAAGAGACAAAGACAACGACUGCACUCUCUCUUCUUCCUCUGGCUCCGGCGAAAAAACCCUUAUUCGAUUUCAUUGAUAAAAUACCCAAAUUCGAUCUCUCGUGAGGGAAGGAGAAGAAGAUGGGAACAAUGGGUAAAGCAUUUUACAGCGUAGGAUUCUGGAUCCGGGAAACUGGUCAAGCACUCGAUCGGCUCGGUUGUCGCCUCCAAGGCAAAAAUCACUUCCGAGAACAGCGUAAGUCUUUGGACCGUCUUCUCUUCUCUUCUCUUUGUUUCCAUACGAUUCGAUUUCUCGUUUACUUCUCGUCGGGUCUUUGAAAAUGUAUUUGAGUAUUUCUCUGGAUUCGGGUCAUAGUUUAGAUUUGAUAAUAAUAUGACGCGUUUUCUCCUAAUGUUGAUCAUUGAUUAUGGCAUUCUUGAUUAGAGACCUAAGAGCUUAAUAUCGCUAGUGAUGCUAUUCAUGUUACCCAUUUCUUUGUUUUAUAGAUUGGUAAGAGAGAUUCUCGUCAAUUUUCUCUUACAACUUCCUCUUACGUUCUCUGCAUUUGGCUAUUUGUUAUCCUAGAUGUGUUAAGUGUUAGCCUUUCCUAUUGUGAGUGAUACUUAAACUCAAAUUUCUCCAUACCAUCCUACUAAACUGCUUCUGAAACUCUUUUUUUUU
This 11879-nucleotide long non-coding RNA is filed under the name Capsella rubella. RNAcentral's name for it is "long non-coding RNA (CRUB_LNC001201)". The stretch from base 6824 to 6897 matches the Rfam family "tRNA". The record is from RNAcentral. Lineage: Eukaryota; Viridiplantae; Streptophyta; Magnoliopsida; Brassicales; Brassicaceae.